AACGCGAAGAACCUUACCUGGGCUCGAACGACUAGUGGUAGCUCUUAUGAAAGUGAGAGCGACCCGCAAGGGAGCUAGCCGAGGUGCUGCAUGGUUGUCGUCAGCUCGUGUCGUGAGAUGUUGGGUUAAGUCCCGCAACGAGCGCAACCCCUAUCCUGUGUUGCUACCCGCAAGGGAGGACUCUCAGGAGACUGCCGCGGAUAACGUGGAGGAAGGUGGGGUCGACGUCAAAUCAUCAUGGCCUUUAUGUCCAGGGCUACACACGUGCUACAAUGGCAUAUACAACGGGAAGCAAGACCGCAAGGUGGAGCAAAUCCCUCAAAGUAUGCCUCAGUUCAGAUUGUGGGCUGCAAUUCGCCCACAUGAAGGCGGAAUCGCUAGUAAUCGCAGAUCAGCAGGCUGCGGUGAAUACGUUCCCGGGCCUUGUACACACCGGCUAC
Molecule: ribosomal RNA, 440 nt
Filed under: uncultured bacterium
Lineage: Bacteria
Description: bacterial SSU rRNA
Rfam family: Bacterial small subunit ribosomal RNA
Source: RNAcentral